This 740-nucleotide ribosomal RNA is filed under the name uncultured bacterium. RNAcentral describes it as "bacterial SSU rRNA". It matches the Rfam family "Bacterial small subunit ribosomal RNA", at positions 8 to 796 of the family's 1533-position model. The record is from RNAcentral.
AGAGUUUGAUCCUGGCUCAGAGCGAACGCUGGCGGCAGGCCUAACACAUGCAAGUCGAGCGCCCCGCAAGGGGAGCGGCAGACGGGAGAGUAACACGUGGGAACGUACCCUUCAGUUCGGAACAACCCAGGGAAACUUGGGCUAAUACCGGAUACGUCCGUAAGGAGAAAGAUUUAUCGCUGAAGGAUCGGCCCGCGUCUGAUUAGCUUGUUGGUGAGGUAACGGCUCACCAAGGCGACGAUCAGUAGCUGGUCUGAGAGGAUGAUCAGCCUCACUGGGACUGAGACACGGCCCAGACUCCUACGGGAGGCAGCAGUGGGGAAUAUUGGACAAUGGGCGCAAGCCUGAUCCAGCCAUGCCGCGUGGAUGAUGAAGGCCCUAGGGUUGUAAAGUCCUUUCGGCGGGGAAGAUAAUGACGGUACCCGCAGAAGAAGCCCCGGCUAACUUCGUGCCAGCAGCCGCGGUAAUACGAAGGGGGCUAGCGUUGCUCGGAAUCACUGGGCGUAAAGCGCACGUAGGCGGCUUUUUAAGUCAGGGGUGAAAUCCUGGAGCUCAACUCCAGAACUGCCUUUGAUACUGAGAAGCUUGAGUCCGGGAGAGGUGAGUGGAACUGCGAGUGUAGAGGUGAAAUUCGUAGAUAUUCGCAAGAACACCAGUGGCGAAGGCGGCUCACUGGCCCGGUACUGACGCUGAGGUGCGAAAGCGUGGGGAGCAAACAGGAUUAGAUACCCCAGUAGUCC